GAUGAAGAACGUAGCGAAAUGCGAUAAGUAAUGUGAAUUGCAGAAUUCAGUGAAUCAUCGAAUCUUUGAACGCACCUUGCGCUCCUUGGUAUUCCGAGGAGCAUGCCUGUUUGAGUGUCAUUAAAUUCUCAACCUCUCUAGUUUUUACAAACUAGUAGAUGGCUUGGAUGUGGGGGUUUUUUGCCGGCUUUCACAAGUCAGCUCCCCUUAAAUGUAUUAGCCGGUGCCCUCUAACCGUCUAUUGGUGUGAUAAUUAUCGUCGCCGUAGACUAUUAGACUUAGUGGCAUUGCUUCUAACCGUCCUCUAUGGACAAUCUAUGACAUUUUGACCUCAAAUCAGGUAGGACUACCCGCUGAACCUAAGCAUAUCAAUAAGCGGAGGA
This 383-nucleotide unclassified non-coding RNA is filed under the name soil metagenome. Its description in RNAcentral is "partial contains 5.8S ribosomal RNA, internal transcribed spacer 2, and large subunit ribosomal RNA". The stretch from base 1 to 120 matches the Rfam family "5.8S ribosomal RNA", at positions 35 to 154 of the family's 154-position model. The record is from RNAcentral.